AUGAAGGAAUGGGAUGUCAGGAGUCCCGCAAUGACAGGUUACUACAACACAGUGAGAAAGCUAGAGAAGAAGUUUGAGGGAUUGGAGCUCCACCACAUACCACGAAUCGAAAAUCAAGCUGCUGAUGAUUUGGCGAAGAUAGGUUCCACUCAGAAGCCUAUCCCCAUCAAUGUGUUCUUGGAGCAUCUCUAUACCCCGUCAAUACAGUAA
RNAcentral lists this ribosomal RNA (210 nucleotides) under Triticum aestivum (bread wheat). Its description in RNAcentral is "partial small subunit ribosomal RNA". Lineage: Eukaryota; Viridiplantae; Streptophyta; Magnoliopsida; Poales; Poaceae. The record is from RNAcentral.